GCCUACGGGAGGCUGCAGUGGGGAAUAUUGCACAAUGGGCGCAAGCCUGAUGCAGCGACGCCGCGUGGAGGAUGAAGGUCUUCGGAUUGUAAACUCCUGUUAAGUGGGAAAAAAGACUUCUGGCUAAUAUCCAGAGGGGAUGAUGGUACCACUAGAGAAAGCACCGGCAAACCUCGUGCCAGCAGCCGCGGUAAGACGAUGGGUGCAAGCGUUAUUCGGAAUUACUGGGCGUAAAGAGCGUGAAGACGGUUGUUUAAGUCAACUGUUAAAUCACCCGGCUUAACCGGGUAUCAGCAGUUGAUACUGGAUGACUAGAGCUUAGAAGAGAGAAGUGGAAUUCUCUGAGUAGCGGUAAAAUGCGUAGAUCUCGAGAGGAACACCAGUGGUGAAGACGGCUUCUUGGUCUAUAGCUGACGUUCAAGCGCGAAAGCGUGGGGAGCAAACAGGAUUAGAUACCCCUGUAGUC
Molecule: ribosomal RNA, 466 nt
Filed under: uncultured bacterium
Lineage: Bacteria
Description: bacterial SSU rRNA
Rfam family: Bacterial small subunit ribosomal RNA
Source: RNAcentral